AGUCGAGCGAGGUACUUGUACCUAGCGGCAGACGGGUGCGUAACAUGUGGGAAUCUGCCUUUUGGUUCGGAACAACACGGGGAAACUUGUGCUAAUACCGGAUAAGUCCUAACGGAGAAAGAUUUAUCGCCGAAAGAUGAGCCCGCACUAGAUUAGCUUGUUGGUAAGGUAAAAGCUUACCAAGGCUACGAUCUAUAGCUGAUUUGAGAGGAUGAUCAGCCACACUGGGACUGAGACACGGCCCAGACUCCUACGGGAGGCAGCAGUGGGGAAUCUUGCACAAUGGAGGAAACUCUGAUGCAGCGAUGCCGCGUGAGUGAAGAAGGCCCUUGGGUUGUAAAGCUCUUUUGUCGGGAAAGAUAAUGACUGUACCCGAAGAAUAAGGUCCGGCUAACUUCGUGCCAGCAGCCGCGGUAAUACGAAGGGACCUAGCGUAAUUCGGAAUUACUGGGCGUAAAGCGCGCGUAGGCGGUUAAGUAAGUUAAUUGUGAAAGCCCAAAGCUCAACUUUGGAAUUGCAAUUAAAACUACUUAGCUAGAGUUUAUCAGAGGAAAGCGGAAUACAUAGUGUAGAGGUGAAAUUCGUAGAUAUUAUGUAGAACACCAGUUGCGAAGGCGGCUUUCUGGGAUAACACUGACGCUGAGGUGCGAAAGUAUGGGUAGCGAAGAGGAUUAGAUACCCUCGUAGUCCAUACCGUAAACGAUGAUUGUUAGAUGUUGGAAAUUUAUUUUCAGUAUCACAGCUAACGCGUUAAACAAUCCGCCUGGGGGAGUACGACCGCAAGGUUAAAACUCAAAUGAAUUGACGGGGACCCGCACAAGCGGUGGAGCAUGU
RNAcentral lists this ribosomal RNA (834 nucleotides) under uncultured bacterium. Its description in RNAcentral is "bacterial SSU rRNA". It matches the Rfam family "Bacterial small subunit ribosomal RNA", at positions 60 to 942 of the family's 1533-position model. The record is from RNAcentral.